GACGAACGCUGGCGGCGUGCUUAAUACAUGCAAGUCGAACGGAAAGGCCCUGCUUUUGUGGGGUGCUCGAGUGGCGAACGGGUGAGUAACACGUGAGUAACCUGCCCUUGACUUUGGGAUAACUUCAGGAAACUGGGGCUAAUACCGGAUAGGAGCUCCUGCUGCAUGGUGGGGGUUGGAAAGUUUCGGCGGUUGGGGAUGGACUCGCGGCUUAUCAGCUUGUUGGUGGGGUAGUGGCUUACCAAGGCUUUGACGGGUAGCCGGCCUGAGAGGGUGACCGGCCACAUUGGGACAGAGAUACGGCCCAGACUCCUACGGGAGGCAGCAGUGGGGAAUAUUGCACAAUGGGCGGAAGCCUGAUGCAGCAACGCCGCGUGCGGGAUGACGGCCUUCGGGUUGUAAACCGCUUUCGCCUGUGACGAAGCGUGAGUGACGGUAAUGGGUAAAGAAGCACCGGCUAACUACGUG
Molecule: ribosomal RNA, 468 nt
Filed under: uncultured bacterium
Lineage: Bacteria
Description: partial 16S ribosomal RNA
Rfam family: Bacterial small subunit ribosomal RNA
Source: RNAcentral